RNAcentral lists this ribosomal RNA (1269 nucleotides) under metagenome. RNAcentral describes it as "bacterial SSU rRNA". It matches the Rfam family "Bacterial small subunit ribosomal RNA", at positions 215 to 1476 of the family's 1533-position model. The record is from RNAcentral.
GCGCGAUUGGAGCGGCCGAUAUCGGAUUAGCUAGUUGGUGAGGUAAAGGCUCACCAAGGCGACGAUCCGUAGCUGGUCUGAGAGGACGACCAGCCACACUGGAACUGAGACACGGUCCAGACUCCUACGGGAGGCAGCAGUGGGGAAUUUUGGACAAUGGGGGCAACCCUGAUCCAGCCAUUCCGCGUGAGUGAAGAAGGCCCUCGGGUUGUAAAGCUCUUUCGGCAGGAACGAAGCGGUGGUCCUUAAUACGGGCUACUAAUGACGGUACCUGAAGAAGAAGCACCGGCUAACUACGUGCCAGCAGCCGCGGUAAUACGUAGGGUGCGAGCGUUAAUCGGAAUUACUGGGCGUAAAGCGUGCGCAGGCGGUUAUGUAAGACAGGUGUGAAAUCCCCGGGCUUAACCUGGGAACUGCGCUUGUGACUGCAUAACUCGAGUGUGGCAGAGGGGGGUGGAAUUCCACGUGUAGCAGUGAAAUGCGUAGAGAUGUGGAGGAACACCGAUGGCGAAGGCAGCCCCCUGGGUCAACACUGACGCUCAUGCACGAAAGCGUGGGGAGCAAACAGGAUUAGAUACCCUGGUAGUACACGCCCUAAACGAUGCGAACUAGGUGUUGGGGAAGGAGACUUUCUUAGUACCGCAGCUAACGCGUGAAGUUCGCCGCCUGGGAGUACGGUCGCAAGAUUAAAACUCAAAGGAAUUGACGGGGACCCGCACAAGCUGUGGAUGAUGUGGAUUAAUUCGAUGCAACGCGAAAAACCUUACCUACCCUUGACAUGUCAGGAAGUCUGCUGAGAGGUGGAUGUGCCCGAAAGGGAACCUGAACACAGGUGCUGCAUGGCUGUCGUCAGCUCGUGUCGUGAGAUGUUGGGUUAAGUCCCGCAACGAGCGCAACCCUUGUCAUUAAUUGCCAUCACUCAGUUGGGCACUUUAAUGAGACUGCCGGUGACAAACCGGAGGAAGGUGGGGAUGACGUCGAGUCCUCAUGGCCCUUAUGGGUAGGGCUUCACACGUCAUACAAUGGUCGGUACAGAGGGUCGCCAACCCGCGAGGGGGAGCCAAUCCCACAAAGCCGAUCGUAGUCCGGAUCGCAGUCUGCAACUCGACUGCGUGAAGUCGGAAUCGCUAGUAAUCGUGGAUCAGCAUGUCACGGUGAAUACGUUCCCGGGUCUUGUACACACCGCCCGUCACACCAUGGGAGUGGGUUCCACCAGAAGUAGGUAGUCUAACCGCAAGGAGGGCGCUUACCACGGUGGGAUUCAUGACU